GACGAACGCUGGCGGCGUGCUUAACACAUGCAAGUCGAACGGAAAGGCCCUGCUUUUGUGUGGUUCUCGAGUGGCGAACGGGUGAGUAACACGUGAGUAACCUGCCCUUGACUUUGGGAUAACUUCAGGAAACUGGGGCUAAUACCGGAUAGGAGCUCCUGCUGCAUGGUGGGGGUUGGAAAGUUUCGGCGGUUGGGGAUGGACUCGCGGCUUAUCAGCUUGUUGGUGGGGUAGUGGCUUACCAAGGCUUUGACGGGUAGCCGGCCUGAGAGGGUGACCGGCGACAAGGGGCCUGAGGUACGGACCAGACUCCUACGGGAGGCAGCAGUGGGGAAUAUUGCACAAUGGGCGGAAGCCUGAGGCAGCAACGCCGCGUGCGGGAUGACGGCCUUCGGGUUGUAAACCGCUUUCGCCUGUGACGAAGCGUGAGUGACGGUAAUGGGUAAAGAAGCACCGGCUAACUACGUG
RNAcentral lists this ribosomal RNA (468 nucleotides) under uncultured bacterium. Its description in RNAcentral is "partial 16S ribosomal RNA". It matches the Rfam family "Bacterial small subunit ribosomal RNA", at positions 28 to 507 of the family's 1533-position model. The record is from RNAcentral.